GGGUUGUGAGGUUAAGCGACUAAGCGUACACGGUGGAUGCCCUGGCAGUCAGAGGCGAUGAAGGACGUGCUAAUCUGCGAAAAGCGUCGGUAAGGUGAUAUGAACCGUUAUAACCGGCGAUGUCCGAAUGGGGAAACCCAGUGCAAUUCGUUGCACUAUCGUUAACUGAAUACAUAGGUUAACGAGGCGAACCGGGGGAACUGAAACAUCUAAGUACCCCGAGGAAAAGAAAUCAACCGAGAUUCCCCCAGUAGCGGCGAGCGAACGGGGAGCAGCCCAGAGUCUGAAUCAGCUUGUGUGUUAGUGGAACGGUCUGGAAAGUCCGACGGUACAGGGUGAUAGUCCCGUACACCAAAAUGCACAGGCUGUGAACUCGAAGAGUAGGGCGGGACACGUGGUAUCCUGUCUGAAUAUGGGGGGACCAUCCUCCAAGGCUAAAUACUCCUGACUGACCGAUAGUGAACCAGUACCGUGAGGGAAAGGCGAAAAGAACCCCGGCGAGGGGAGUGAAAAAGAACCUGAAACCGUGUACGUACAAGCAGUGGGAGCACCUUCGGGUGUGACUGCGUACCUUUUGUAUAAUGGGUCAGCGACUUAUAUUCUGUAGCAAGGUUAACCGUAUAGGGGAGCCGCAGGGAAACCGAGUCUUAACUGGGCGUUAAGUUGCAGGGUAUAGACCCGAAACCCGGUGAUCUAGCCAUGGGCAGGUUGAAGGUUGGGUAACACUAACUGGAGGACCGAACCGACUAAUGUUGAAAAAUUAGCGGAUGACUUGUGGCUGGGGGUGAAAGGCCAAUCAAACCGGGAGAUAGCUGGUUCUCCCCGAAAGCUAUUUAGGUAGCGCCUCGUGAACUCAUCUUCGGGGGUAGAGCACUGUUUCGGCUAGGGGGUCAUCCCGACUUACCAACCCGAUGCAAACUACGAAUACCGAAGAAUGUUAUCACGGGAGACACACGGCGGGUGCUAACGUCCGUCGUGAAGAGGGAAACAACCCAGACCGCCAGCUAAGGUCCCAAAGUCAUGGUUAAGUGGGAAACGAUGUGGGAAGGCACAGACAGCCAGGAUGUUGGCUUAGAAGCAGCCAUCAUUUAAAGAAAGCGUAAUAGCUCACUGGUCGAGUCGGCCUGCGCGGAAGAUGUAACGGGGCUAAACCAUGCACCGAAGCUGCGGCAGCGACACGAUGUGUUGUUGGGUAGGGGAGCGUUCUGUAAGCCUGCGAAGGUGACCUGUGAGGGUUGCUGGAGGUAUCAGAAGUGCGAAUGCUGACAUAAGUAACGAUAAAGCGGGUGAAAAGCCCGCUCGCCGGAAGACCAAGGGUUCCUGUCCAACGUUAAUCGGGGCAGGGUGAGUCGACCCCUAAGGCGAGGCCGAAAGGCGUAGUCGAUGGGAAACAGGUUAAUAUUCCUGUACUUGGUGUUACUGCGAAGGGGGGACGGAGAAGGCUAUGUUAGCCGGGCGACGGUUGUCCCGGUUUAAGCAUGUAGGCUGAUUAUCCAGGCAAAUCCGGAUAAUCAAGGCUGAGGUGUGAUGACGAGGCACUACGGUGCUGAAGUAACAAAUGCCCUGCUUCCAGGAAAAGCCUCUAAGCAUCAGGUAACAUCAAAUCGUACCCCAAACCGACACAGGUGGUCAGGUAGAGAAUACCAAGGCGCUUGAGAGAACUCGGGUGAAGGAACUAGGCAAAAUGGUGCCGUAACUUCGGGAGAAGGCACGCUGGUGUGUAGGUGAAGUCCCUGCGGAUGGAGCUGAGACCAGUCGAAGAUACCAGCUGGCUGCAACUGUUUAUUAAAAACACAGCACUGUGCAAACACGAAAGUGGACGUAUACGGUGUGACGCCUGCCCGGUGCCGGAAGGUUAAUUGAUGGGGUUAUCCGUAAGGAGAAGCUCUUGAUCGAAGCCCCGGUAAACGGCGGCCGUAACUAUAACGGUCCUAAGGUAGCGAAAUUCCUUGUCGGGUAAGUUCCGACCUGCACGAAUGGCGUAAUGAUGGCCAGGCUGUCUCCACCCGAGACUCAGUGAAAUUGAACUCGCUGUGAAGAUGCAGUGUACCCGCGGCAAGACGGAAAGACCCCGUGAACCUUUACUAUAGCUUGACACUGAACAUUGAGCCUUGAUGUGUAGGAUAGGUGGGAGGCUUUGAAGCGUGGACGCCAGUCUGCGUGGAGCCAACCUUGAAAUACCACCCUUUAAUGUUUGAUGUUCUAACGUAGGCCCCUUAUCGGGGUUGCGGACAGUGUCUGGUGGGUAGUUUGACUGGGGCGGUCUCCUCCCAAAGCGUAACGGAGGAGCACGAA
Molecule: ribosomal RNA, 2295 nt
Filed under: Klebsiella quasipneumoniae subsp. quasipneumoniae
Lineage: Bacteria; Pseudomonadati; Pseudomonadota; Gammaproteobacteria; Enterobacterales; Enterobacteriaceae
Description: partial 23S ribosomal RNA
Rfam family: Bacterial large subunit ribosomal RNA
Source: RNAcentral